UACGGAGGGUGCAAGCGUUAUCCGGAAUUACUGGGUGUAAAGGGAGCGUAGACGGUUAAGUAAGUCUGGAGUGAAAGGCCGGGGCCCAGCCCCGGGACUGCUCUGGAAACUAUUGAACUUGAGUGCAGGAGAGGUAAGCGGAAUUCCUAGUGUAGCGGUGGAAUGCGUAGAUAUUAGGAGGAACACCAGAGGCGAAGGCGGCUAACUGGACUGUAACUGACGCUGAGGCACGAAAGUGUGGGGAGCAAACAGG
RNAcentral lists this ribosomal RNA (253 nucleotides) under uncultured Eubacteriales bacterium. RNAcentral's name for it is "uncultured Clostridiales bacterium partial 16S ribosomal RNA". It matches the Rfam family "Bacterial small subunit ribosomal RNA", at positions 524 to 776 of the family's 1533-position model. Lineage: Bacteria; Bacillati; Bacillota; Clostridia; Eubacteriales. The record is from RNAcentral.